UCACCAAGAUUUAGAUGUUAGCUGUUGUAUGUUGUCAAAUUUCGUCACUUUCCUUAAUAAAGCUAGACCUGUGGUUCUAAGGUUAUUGUGAUUUGGUACUUGAUGCUGAGCACUGUACAUUCAAAUAAUAUGCUUUUGUAAGCUCUGCUCUGCACAGUGUUGCAGCAGUGAAUGAAGUAAUCUCAGGUUAUGUUAUUU
Molecule: long non-coding RNA, 198 nt
Organism: Lolium rigidum
Lineage: Eukaryota; Viridiplantae; Streptophyta; Magnoliopsida; Poales; Poaceae
Exons: 2
Source: RefSeq, a predicted model, not a curated record